CGAGAGUUGCAAAACUCCCUAAAACCCACUGUAAACAUACCUAUUUUGGCUACUUCGGCAGGCGGCCCCAGGGCGGGGCCAUGGCCUUUUAGGCGCCUGCCAAAGCCUAUAAAACUCUUACUGUUACUGUAUUCUGAGCAUAAAAAACAAAUAAGUUA
RNAcentral lists this unclassified non-coding RNA (158 nucleotides) under uncultured Coniochaetales. RNAcentral's name for it is "sequence contains ITS1". The record is from RNAcentral. Lineage: Eukaryota; Fungi; Ascomycota; Sordariomycetes; Coniochaetales.